GAUGAACGCUAGCGGCAGGCUUAACACAUGCAAGUCGAGGGGUAUUGGUUUUCGGACCAAGAGACCGGCGCACGGGUGCGUAACGCGUAUGCAAUCUACCUUUUGCAGAGGGAUAGCCCCAGAGAAAUUUGGAUUAAUACCUCAUAGUAUAGUACUUUGGCAUCAAGGAACUAUUAAAGUCACAACGGCAAAAGAUGAGCAUGCGUCCCAUUAGCUAGUUGGUAAGGUAACGGCUUACCAAGGCUACGAUGGGUAGGGGUCCUGAGAGGGAGAUCCCCCACACUGGUACUGAGACACGGACCAGACUCCUACGGGAGGCAGCAGUGAGGAAUAUUGGACAAUGGGCGCAAGCCUGAUCCAGCCAUGCCGCGUGCAGGAAGAAGGUCCUAUGGAUUGUAAACUGCUUUUAUACAAGAAGAAACACUCCCUCGUGAGGGAACUUGACGGUACUGUAUGAAUAAGGACCGGCUAACUCCGUGCCAGCAGCCGCGGUAAAGUG
This 499-nucleotide ribosomal RNA is filed under the name uncultured bacterium. RNAcentral's name for it is "bacterial SSU rRNA". It matches the Rfam family "Bacterial small subunit ribosomal RNA", at positions 28 to 527 of the family's 1533-position model. The record is from RNAcentral.